UACGGAGGGUGCAAGCGUUAUCCGGAUUCACUGGGUUUAAAGGGUGCGUAGGCGGGCAGGUAAGUCAGUGGUGAAAUCUUCGAGCUUAACUCGGAAACUGCCUUUUGAUACUAUCUGUCUUGAAUAUGGUGGAGGUAAGCGGAAUAUGUCAUGUAGCGGUGAAAAUGCUUUAGAGAUGACAUAGAACACCUAUUGCGAAGGCAGCUUACUACGCCUAUAUUGACGCUGAGGCACGAAAGCGUGGGGAUCAAACAGG
RNAcentral lists this ribosomal RNA (256 nucleotides) under uncultured bacterium. Its description in RNAcentral is "partial 16S ribosomal RNA". It matches the Rfam family "Bacterial small subunit ribosomal RNA", at positions 524 to 776 of the family's 1533-position model. The record is from RNAcentral.